CUCACUGCCAAUCUAUCUAUCGCUGCCAAUCUAUCGCCGCUGCCAAUCUAUCCCUCACUGCUAAGCUAUCCCUCGCUGCUAAGCUAUCCCUCACUGCUAAGCUAUCCCUCGCUGCUAAGCUAUCCCUCGCUGCUAAGCUAUCGCUGCCAAUCUAUCUAUCGCUGCCAACCUAUCGCUGCUGCCAAUCUAUCCCUCGCUGCUAAGCUAUCCCUCGCUGCCAACCUAUCUAUCGCUGCCAACCUAUCGCCACUGCCAAUCUAUCCCUCGCUGCUAAGCUAUCCCUCGCUGCUAAGCUAUCCCUCACUGCUAAGCUAUCCCUCGCUGCUAAGCUAUCCCUCGCUGCUAAGCUAUCCCUCACUACUAAGCUAUCUAUCACUGCUAAUCUAUCGCUGCCAACCUAUCUACCGCGGCGAAUCUAUCUAUUGCUGCCAACCAACCUACCACUGCCAACCUAUCUAUCGCUGCCAAUCUAUUGCUGCCAAUCUAUCGCUGCCAACCUAUCUACUGCAGUGAAUCUAUCUAUCACUAUCAUUACUAGUUCAAAAUAGAACUAGAGCAUAAAUACACUAAACUUCUUUUGAUAGAUAAUGAUUUUUGGUAACACUCAUAGCAUUAUAUCAUCUAUAUAGGGUAAAUCAUGAUCCCAUUUGGUCCCAUUUUAACAAAAUGGGACCAAAUGGGACCAGAAUCAGUAAUUUAUAAGAAGAACAUGACCUGACACUAGAUUUAUAAUAUAAACAGUGUAAAAUGACUAAUUUAAUAAACACUAUAUGGGAUCAGAACUAAGAAAUUUGAUAAUGAAACUGAAGAAAUAUUUAGUCCCAGUUCCAUGCAUGGUCACACAGCCAGUCUACUGUCCCUGUCUCUAUAUCAAUACUUGAAGAAUUGAAGAUAGACAAUAUCUCUGUGUCAGAAU
Molecule: small RNA, 916 nt
Filed under: Histoplasma ohiense
Lineage: Eukaryota; Fungi; Ascomycota; Eurotiomycetes; Onygenales; Ajellomycetaceae
Description: hypothetical lncRNA
Source: RNAcentral